RNAcentral lists this ribosomal RNA (1443 nucleotides) under uncultured organism. RNAcentral describes it as "partial small subunit ribosomal RNA". It matches the Rfam family "Bacterial small subunit ribosomal RNA". The record is from RNAcentral.
GUUGGCGGCGUGCUUAACACAUGCAAGUCGAACGGAAAGGCCCUGCUUUUGUGGGGUGCUCGAGUGGCGAACGGGUGAGUAACACGUGAGUAACCUGCCCUUGACUUUGGGAUAACUUCAGGAAACUGGGGCUAAUACCGGAUAGGAGCUCCUGCUGCAUGGUGGGGGUUGGAAAGUUUCGGCGGUUGGGGAUGGACUCGCGGCUUAUCAGCUUGUUGGUGGGGUAGUGGCUUACCAAGGCUUUGACGGGUAGCCGGCCUGAGAGGGUGACCGGCCACAUUGGGACUGAGAUACGGCCCAGACUCCUACGGGAGGCGGCAGUGGGGAAUAUUGCACAAUGGGCGGAAGCCUGAUGCAGCAACGCCGCGUGCGGGAUGACGGCCUUCGGGUUGUAAACCGCUUUCGCCUGUGACGAAGCGUGAGUGACGGUAAUGGGUAAAGAAGCACCGGCUAACUACGUGCCAGCAGCCGCGGUGAUACGUAGGGUGCGAGCGUUGUCCGGAUUUAUUGGGCGUAAAGGGCUCGUAGGUGGUUGAUCGCGUCGGAAGUGUAAUCUUGGGGCUUAACCCUGAGCGUGCUUUCGAUACGGGUUGACUUGAGGAAGGUAGGGGAGAAUGGAAUUCCUGGUGGAGCGGUGGAAUGCGCAGAUAUCAGGAGGAACACCAGUGGCGAAGGCGGUUCUCUGGGCCUUUCCUGACGCUGGGGAGCGAAAGCGUGGGGAGCGAACAGGCUUAGAUACCCUGGUAGUCCACGCUGUAAACGGUGGGUACUAGGUGUGGGGUCCAUUCCACGGGUUCCGUGCCGUAGCUAACGCUUUAAGUACCCCGCCUGGGGAGUACGGCCGCAAGGCUAAAACUCAAAGGAAUUGACGGGGCCCCGCACAAGCGGCGGAGCAUGCGGAUUAAUUCGAUGCAACGCGUAGAACCUUACCUGGGUUUGACAUGGAUCGGGAGUGCUCAGAGAUGGGUGUGCCUCUUUUGGGGUCGGUUCACAGGUGGUGCAUGGCUGUCGUCAGCUCGUGUCGUGAGAUGUUGGGUUAAGUCCCGCAACGAGCGCAACCCUUGUUCACUGUUGCCAGCACGUUAUGGUGGGGACUCAGUGGAGACCGCCGGGGUCAACUCGGAGGAAGGUGGGGAUGACGUCAAGUCAUCACGCCCCUUAUGUCCAGGGCUUCACGCAUGCUACAAUGGCUGGUACAGAGAGUGGCGAGCCUGUGAGGGUGAGCGAAUCUCGGAAAGCCGGUCUCAGUUCGGAUUGGGGUCUGCAACUCAACCUCAUGAAGUCGGAGUCGCUAGUAAUCGCAGGUCAGCAACGCUGCGGUGAAUACGUUCCCGGGGCUUGUACACACCGCCCGUCAAGUCAUGAAAGUUGGUAACACCCGAAGCCGGUGGCCUAACCGUUGUGGGGGAGCCGUCGAAGGUGGGACUGGUGAUUAGGACUAAG